GAGAGUGGUGGGCCUACGUGGAGUUUGUUACAGAGAGUGGAGUGGUGUCCAUUAUCGCGACUUGCCGGAGAGUUCAGGCCGGACGACUGAAGCUCGGUUGGGAUAUCUGGUGGAGUGGAAUAGCUCUCUGUCUCAGCAAUCUAAGAGAAGCUCGGAUGUUUUCGAGGUUGUUGAUGGAUUAACUGUUGUUGCGUGCCUUAGGCAUUGGUGCUAC
This 214-nucleotide long non-coding RNA is filed under the name Elaeis guineensis (African oil palm). RNAcentral describes it as "long non-coding RNA (EGUI_LNC059339)". Lineage: Eukaryota; Viridiplantae; Streptophyta; Magnoliopsida; Arecales; Arecaceae. The record is from RNAcentral.